CCUGCCCUUCANAGGGGGACGAACAGUUGGAAACGACUGCUAAUACCGCAUACGAUCUGACCUCGGCAUCGAGGAUAGAUGAAAGGUGGCCUCUAUUUAUAAGCUAUCACUGAAGGAGGGGAUUGCGUCUGAUUAGCUAGUUGGAGGGGUAACGGCCCACCAAGGCGAUGAUCAGUAGCCGGUCUGAGAGGAUGAACGGCCACAUUGGGACUGAGACACGGCCCAGACUCCUACGGGAGGCAGCAUG
RNAcentral lists this ribosomal RNA (247 nucleotides) under uncultured bacterium. RNAcentral describes it as "partial 16S ribosomal RNA". It matches the Rfam family "Bacterial small subunit ribosomal RNA", at positions 125 to 353 of the family's 1533-position model. The record is from RNAcentral.